GCGUCGGUAACAGCGAUUCAGCACGCGCCUCCGGAUAGCGUGAAAUCUGGGUUCGAAUCCCAGCUGACGCA
Non-coding RNA from Parelaphostrongylus tenuis, 71 nucleotides. Lineage: Eukaryota; Metazoa; Nematoda; Chromadorea; Rhabditida; Metastrongylidae. The record is from the annotation of a GenBank genome assembly.